Molecule: long non-coding RNA, 652 nt
Filed under: Pongo abelii (Sumatran orangutan)
Lineage: Eukaryota; Metazoa; Chordata; Mammalia; Primates; Hominidae
Description: lincRNA
Source: RNAcentral
UUCAGUUUUAUUGGUUGCAUGCACAGUCAGUUAUUUCAUCCAGAAAAUCUGAAGGCCCUACAAACUAACCAGAACAGUAAGGGUUGAAACUGAAGGCCAAUUGUGAAUACUAUCCACCGGGAGCGUCUUAUGAAUUGACUCAUGUUCCUCAGAUAAUAAAUAACACUAAAAGACACCAGUUAGCUUCUGACCUCAAGGAGUGCUACUUUCAUCUCCUGCAAGCUUUGAAAAGAGAUCUGAUACCUGACAACAUCUUGACAAAAGCACAUCCCAUUUUCUGAUGGAAGCUGAACCAAAAUUAUUGAUGUCGCUAGUGAUUCAGGGUACUCUAGAUUGUUUGGAGUCCAAUAUAAAUACAUUUAAUAGACAAAAAAAUUGCUGCCUUAAUCUAAGCACAAAUGACCUUAGUAGAUAGAUACUGCUUAUCCCGCUGAUGCAUUAGAGCUAUACUAGUUCUACUCCUAAUUCUUGAGAAGCUGUGUUUUCUCUAAUUUAUUUCCAUUUUGAUCUUCACCUAUAGUUUUGCUAGGUUUAUUUGUAACUUCUGUAUCCAUGAAUAAAUAAUCGCUGUGGCUUUAGCAUUAAAUAAUAUCUAUCUAUUUAAUAUUUUGAGUCAUCAUUUUUAUUGUGGCUAAUGAUAAUGACUGGGAAU